GCCGUGUCUGGGUGUGCCCGGGCUGGGGGAUGUUCACUGAGGCGGUGUCUGGGUGUGCCCGGGCUGGGGGAUGUUCACUGGGGCCGUGUCAGUGUGUGCCCGGGCCGGGGGAUGUUCACUGGGGCCGGGUCAGUGUGUGGCCAGUCCGGGGGAUGUUCACUGGGGCGGUGUCAGUGUGUGCCCGGAGCGGGGGAUGUUCACUGGGGCGGUGUCAGUGUGUGCCCGGAGCGGGGGAUGUUCACUGGGGCGGUGUCUGGGUGUGCCCGGAGCGGGGGAUGUUCGAUGCCCACCCGCAUCCUCUGUAGGGUCUGUCCCUUUUCCUUGGGGUGGUGUGUGAGGAACUCAGCUUGGCGCAGUGGUGCUUCCAGCAAGCAUUUUGCCUCUUGCAGAUCUGGAGCUCUUGUUCCCGAGACAGAACCGAGGCAUCCCGGCGUGGGGCAGUAGCCUGGUGUAAUCACCCCGCACGCCCGGAAAACGGACCCGAGCUGAGGGAUUAUGUUGGAACAAGCUGGGUUCUGGCUAUAAUGAACUAGAACGGCCCAGCUCUGUCAGGAGGACUGGCGUUGCUUUGUGUGUGUAACAGAGAACAAGGACAAUAAUCCCAAACCAGAAUGUGUGUAUGGGGAAGAACAUGAAAAACUAGGCCUUGAUACCUUUGACGCAGUGCUUUUCAUACACAAAAGAAGAACUGAAACAGUGAAGGCCAAGUACCUCAUAAGUCUGUCGACAGUCUUUUGGAAUUGCCAGAUGGCUUCCAGAAGGACACACUGGGAUUGAAUGCCUCUUCCCAUGCUCCCAGUGGUGAUGGAGGCCCCACAGGAUAGUGCUCCUCUUUAUUUUGCUCUGUCAGUAUAUCCUGUGCUCACGACACAGCGCAAACGGAAGCCAGCGUGCCGUGAGUGCACUGUCUGUGGCAGUCUGCACUGGGCGUACUUCUGUCACAGAGCUUGGAAAGAAAUGCUUGUGCAAAAGCCAGAACAUUGUUGCUGUUGCUGCUGCUGCUGCUGCUGCUGUGUCUGAUGAUACCCCAUAUUUCCUUGCUGUGGUUACAGGAUGCUUAAAAAUUACUACUGGUUUGCUGGCUUUUAUUUCUGGAGCUGUUUGGCAUGAGGUUAGCUUAUCUAAUACUGGAAGGAACGGACAUAAAUUGCAACAAAGAACAUUCCAAUUAGGCAUUG
Long non-coding RNA from Poecile atricapillus (Black-capped chickadee), 1178 nucleotides. RefSeq lists it as uncharacterized. Lineage: Eukaryota; Metazoa; Chordata; Aves; Passeriformes; Paridae. The transcript has 4 exons. The record is from RefSeq and is a predicted model, not a curated record.